CACGUCGGCUCCCCUCCCCCAACACCGUUCGGAAUCCUUGGGUCAACCGCCUCCGUCUCCACAGCAACGGAGUUUCAGAGCGCGCGGCAGCUUGGGGGCGGGGUUCCCAGUCCCCCGGUCAAAUUUUAGGACUUUUCAGCAGGAAAGCUGCACAACUGGAGGAGGGCAGGACGAGGCUGGCCUCGCAGGUCGGGCUACGUUCUUCUACGGUCUGAGGCGUUGUCUAGAAACUCAAAAUCUCUGGAAUCCCAUCCAGGACUCCUCCAUCAAGAUUUCUUCCGAUCCUGAGUAACCAAGAUUGGAAUACUGACCCCUUCAGGAGGCAGCCCAUGCCGUUUUUUCCCAACCGCUCUAAUCUGCCCCAAAUGCUUCCUUAUAUGAAUCCAAAUUUGUCUCUCCUUGACCUCUACCCUCUGCACUGUUUCAGCCUCCGCCUCUGGGGCCUUACUAAACAAGUCCAAUCACCCUUCCACGUGACCCCUUAUCUAACUGUAGGUGGGAUUAAUGUACUUAUCUGCCCAAACAGCUCCAGUCCUUUAAACUGCCUUUUAUUGAUUGGAGCCCACCCAGGAUACUACAUUACAUUCAGAUGUCAUGUCUCCUUAGGCUCCUGCAGACUGACAAUUUCUCAAACUUUGUUUUUGAUGACUUUGACAAUUUUGAGGUGGUAUGAUAAUUUGUGAAGUGUUUCUCAUGCUUAGCCUGGAGUUACAAGGUUGGAGAAAAAGACCAAAGAUGUGAAGUGCCAUUCUCAUCACAUCAUGUCAAGGGUACAUGCUGUUAACAUGAAUUAACAUCGAUGAUGUUAACCUUGAUGUCCUGGCUGAGAUGAACUCUCUUGGAUAGAAGGAUUCAAACAGAAAAAUGCAAAAAGAAGUCAGAUGGAAAACUCUGGAAAAUCCAAGAAGGGAGCUAGUUGAUGAUGAGCAAAGCCACAUGUGCUGUCUUGACAGCCAUAGAGAAGAAUGGAGGCCUCCAUACCUGAGUGGAAAGAGAAGAACAUGGGCAAUGAUUUUGUCUCUACAAAACAACAACAACAACAGACAAACAAAAUUAGCUGAGUGUGGUG
Molecule: long non-coding RNA, 1069 nt
Filed under: Homo sapiens (human)
Lineage: Eukaryota; Metazoa; Chordata; Mammalia; Primates; Hominidae
Description: HSALNT0294946
Source: RNAcentral